Molecule: ribosomal RNA, 368 nt
Filed under: Leukoma jedoensis
Lineage: Eukaryota; Metazoa; Mollusca; Bivalvia; Venerida; Veneridae
Description: partial 16S ribosomal RNA
Rfam family: Bacterial large subunit ribosomal RNA
Source: RNAcentral
UGCAAUGAGAAGUGUACUAAGGUAGCGUGAUAAUUUGUCCUUUAAUUGAGGACUGGUAUGAAUGGUUUGACGUGUAAUUGCUUUUUUUACAUAAGUUUUACGAAAUUUCCUUUUAGUGUGAAAAGGCUUAAAUUUUUGAAAAAGACGAGAAGACCCUGUCGAACUUGAUUAGAAUUAUUGUUUUGAGUAGAAUCAGCAUAAUAUAUUCAGAAAUUUUAUUGGGGCAAUAUUGGCUUAAAAAACAGCUUAAAUUAAACAAAGAUCCUUUAAGGAAGAAAUUUGGCAGAAGUUACCGCAGGGAUAACAGCGUUAUUUUUCCUGAGAGAUCGAAUUGAGGGAAAAGUUUGCGACCUCGAUGUUGGAUUAUA